GGUCAGGUAGAGAAUACCAAGGCGCUUGAGAGAACUCGGGUGAAGGAACUAGGCAAAAUGGUGCCGUAACUUCGGGAGAAGGCACGCUGACACGUAGGUGAAGUGAUUUACUCAUGGAGCUGAAGUCAGUCGAAGAUACCAGCUGGCUGCAACUGUUUAUUAAAAACACAGCACUGUGCAAACACGAAAGUGGACGUAUACGGUGUGACGCCUGCCCGGUGCCGGAAGGUUAAUUGAUGGGGUCAGCGCAAGCGAAGCUCCUGAUCGAAGCCCCGGUAAACGGCGGCCGUAACUAUAACGGUCCUAAGGUAGCGAAAUUCCUUGUCGGGUAAGUUCCGACCUGCACGAAUGGCGUAAUGAUGGCCAGGCUGUCUCCACCCGAGACUCAGUGAAAUUGAACUCGCUGUGAAGAUGCAGUGUACCCGCGGCAAGACGGAAAGACCCCGUGAACCUUUACUAUAGCUUGACACUGAACAUUGAGCCUUGAUGUGUAGGAUAGGUGGGAGGCUUUGAAGUGUGGACGCCAGUCUGCAUGGAGCCGACCUUGAAAUACCACCCUUUAAUGUUUGAUGUUCUAACGUGGACCCGUGAUCCGGGUUGCGGACAGUGUCUGGUGGGUAGUUUGACUGGGGCGGUCUCCUCCUAAAGAGUAACGGAGGAGCACGAAGGUUGGCUAAUCCUGGUCGGACAUCAGGAGGUUAGUGCAAUGGCAUAAGCCAGCUUGACUGCGAGCGUGACGGCGCGAGCAGGUGCGAAAGCAGGUCAUAGUGAUCCGGUGGUUCUGAAUGGAAGGGCCAUCGCUCAACGGAUAAAAGGUACUCCGGGGAUAACAGGCUGAUACCGCCCAAGAGUUCAUAUCGACGGCGGUGUUUGGCACCUCGAUGUCGGCUCAUCACAUCCUGGGGCUGAAGUAGGUCCCAAGGGUAUGGCUGUUCGCCAUUUAAAGUGGUACGCGAGCUGGGUUUAGAACGUCGUGAGACAGUUCGGUCCCUAUCUGCCGUGGGCGCUGGAGAACUGAGGGGGGCUGCUCCUAGUACGAGAGGACCGGAGUGGACGCAUCACUGGUGUUCGGGUUGUCAUGCCAAUGGCACUGCCCGGUAGCUAAAUGCGGAAGAGAUAAGUGCUGAAAGCAUCUAAGCACGAAACUUGCCCCGAGAUGAGUUCUCCCUGAGACUUUAGGUCUCCUGAAGGAACGUUGAAGACGACGACGUUGAUAGGCCGGGUGUGUAAGCGCAGCGAUGCGUUGAGCUAACCGGUACUAAUGAACCGUGAGGCUUAACCUUACA
RNAcentral lists this ribosomal RNA (1286 nucleotides) under Salmonella enterica. RNAcentral describes it as "partial 23S ribosomal RNA". It matches the Rfam family "Bacterial large subunit ribosomal RNA", at positions 1665 to 2925 of the family's 2925-position model. RNAcentral also lists the same sequence under 1 other name. Lineage: Bacteria; Pseudomonadati; Pseudomonadota; Gammaproteobacteria; Enterobacterales; Enterobacteriaceae. The record is from RNAcentral.